UCGGCCUGGGAUGUGCUCGCGGCCUAUCAGCUUGUUGGUGAGGUAAUGGCUCACCAAGGCUUCGACGGGUAGCCGGCCUGAGAGGGGAACCGGCCACACUGGGACUGAGACACGGCCCAGACUCCUACGGGAGGCAGCAGUGGGGAAUAUUGGACAAUGGGCGGAAGCCUGAUCCAGCAACGCCGCGUGAGGGAUGACGGCCUUCGGGUUGUAAACCUCUUUCAGCACAGACGAAGCGCAAGUGACGGUAUGUGCAGAAGAAGGACCGGCCAACUACGUGCCAGCAGCCGCGGUAAUACGUAGGGUCCGAGCGUUGUCCGGAAUUAUUGGGCGUAAAGGGCUCGUAGGCGGUCUGUCGCGUCGGGAGUGAAAACCAGGUGCUUAACACCUGGCCUGCUUUCGAUACGGGCAGACUAGAGGUACUCAGGGGAGAAUGGAAUUCCUGGUGUAGCGGUGAAAUGCGCAGAUAUCAGGAGGAACACCGGUGGCGAAGGCGGUUCUCUGGGAGUAUCCUGACGCUGAGGAGCGAAAGUGUGGGGAGCGAACAGGAUUAGAUACCCUGGUAGUCCACACCGUAAACGUUGGGCGCUAGGUGUGGGACACAUUCCACGUGUUCCGUGCCGCAGCUAACGCAUUAAGCGC
RNAcentral lists this ribosomal RNA (642 nucleotides) under Nocardioides sp. Its description in RNAcentral is "bacterial SSU rRNA". It matches the Rfam family "Bacterial small subunit ribosomal RNA", at positions 215 to 867 of the family's 1533-position model. Lineage: Bacteria; Bacillati; Actinomycetota; Actinomycetes; Propionibacteriales; Nocardioidaceae. The record is from RNAcentral.